Molecule: ribosomal RNA, 481 nt
Filed under: uncultured bacterium
Lineage: Bacteria
Description: bacterial SSU rRNA
Rfam family: Bacterial small subunit ribosomal RNA
Source: RNAcentral
AUUGAACGCUGGCGGCAUGCCUAACACAUGCAAGUCGAACGGUAACAGGCCCUUCGGGUGCUGACGAGUGGCGGAUGGGUGAGUAAUACUUAGGAAUCUACCCUGUAGUGGGGGACAACCCGGGGAAACUCGGGCUAAUACCGCAUACACUCUACGGAGGAAAGCGGGGGACCGCAAGGCCUCGCGCUAUUGGAUGAGCCUAAGCCCGAUUAGCUAGUUGGUGGGGUAAUGGCCACCAAGGCGACGAUCGGUAGCUGGUCUGAGAGGACGACCAGCCACACUGGGACUGAGACACGGCCCAGACUCCUACGGGAGGCAGCAGGUGGGGAAUAUUGGACAAUGGGCGCAAGCCUGAUCCAGCGAUGCCGCGUGUGUGAGGAAGGCCUGCGGGUUGUAAAGCACUUUCAGUAGGGAAGAAAGCCGAGUGCUAAUAUCACUCGGUCUUGACGUUACUUACAGAAGAAGCACCGGCCAACUACGU